UAGGGAAUAUUAGUAAUGGGCGAAAGCCUGAACUAGCAACGCCGCGUGUGCGAAGAAGGCCUUCGGGUUGUAAAGCACUUUUUGAGAGGAUGAGGAAGGACGGUACUCUCAGAAUAAGUCUCGGCUAACUAGGUGCCAGCAGCCGCGGUAACACAUAGGAGGCAAACGUUAUCCGGAUUUACUGGGCGUAAAGCGCGUGUAGGUGGUUUGGUAAGUAGGGCGUGAAAGCUCCUGGCUCAACUGGGAGAGGCCGUUCUAAACUGCCGAACUAGAGGAUGGUAGAGGGAGGUGGAAUUCCUGGUGUAGCGGUGGAAUGCGCAGAUAUCCGGAGGAACACCAGUGGCGAAAGCGGCCUCCUGGACCAUUCCUGACACUCAGACGCGAAAGCUAGGGUAGCAAACGG
This 403-nucleotide ribosomal RNA is filed under the name uncultured bacterium. Its description in RNAcentral is "bacterial SSU rRNA". It matches the Rfam family "Bacterial small subunit ribosomal RNA", at positions 355 to 775 of the family's 1533-position model. The record is from RNAcentral.